CUACACCGAGAGGACUCGAAGAUACCGAUGCGGAAGUGCCUGGAUGCCGGGAUUGUACGCCUCGAUUCUAAGUCCUGAAGGGGGCGCAAAACAAACAUGAGUGGACCAAUUUGAUAUAAAUAUAAUAAAACAGUUAUCAACGUACUAACCCCCAGGUUUAUGAAAACAUAUAUAUAAUGAUAAACAUAGGUUUUCCGAAUUCUAGCAUGAUGCAGUAUCUCAAAUCAUAACUCAUAUAUAUAAUAAUCACUAGUGAAUUGUCCGAUAACCUGCAGGCCCCAUGCCGGCUCCCCGUCUUUGAGCAGACAGUCAGAGGAAAAUACACUUCAGGCCCCAUGCCGGCUCCCCGUCCCUGUGCUAAAUAGCCAGAGGGAAACAACUCCAGGCCCUAUGCCAACACCAAACCGUCGCCCGGGACGGACCGGAAUCUAUCCCCGAACCCUAUCCCGUAGCGAAAGGACCACUAGGUAAAUACAGUACAAAACCAUUGAAAAACAUACAUAUAUGAAAAAAACUUCAUAGUAUAAAGUCAUCCAUCAUCUAUACUAUAAAGAGGUGUUCGAAACAUGUUCUAAAUAUCAUAUCGUCAUCCAUCAGAUAUUCUAUAAGAACACGGGGGUUAUAGGAAAAAAUAGUAAAUAAUAAUAAUUCAAGGUAGUAGCCUCAGUAAGCAUGUUAUCUCACAAAACGUUUCAUAAAACGUAAAUAAUCAUUAAAUCAUGCAUUUCAUGUAUGCAUUUCUACUAUUAUUAAACAUGCUUUUGAAGGGGUCCACUCACAGUACUUAGCCGCCGAAGAGCCACGCAAACUAACGUCACCAAUAUUGCCCCUAAGCACAUAAAGGGUCCAAUUAAUAAAACUAUAUAAUAGCAAUUGGAUUUGGGAAAACGGACGUUGGAAACGGAUUCAGAACGUCGAAUUACCCUAAGAAGGGUCCCGGACGAAAACCCGAAAAGUCAACUCUAAAGUCAAUGUUGACCGGAGGUCAACGGUCAAAUUAGGUCUAACAGGUUUUAGGCUUGAAAUCCGGAUUAGGGUUUAGGUUAAAUAGGAUUAGGAUUUAUUGGGUUUUGGUUUUAGGGUUCUAAGAUUAAAAGGGUUUGGGUUAUAAAGGGUUUAGGGUGAAAAUGGGUAGUUUGGGCUUAAACCCCAAACACACACACACACCACAAACAAACACACACACACACACGGGCUGCACACACACAGCCCAUACACACACGGCCCAAAGGCCUAAUAACCAAAAGGGUUGGGUUUUGGGUUCUAAAGGGAAUGGGUUUUUAAAAGAAAAAGGGCUUAGGGCCCUGACUUGGAAAGCCCAAGGGCUUAAAAGCCUAGGGUUUUCUGGGUUGCUGCUCACGGGCCGAAGGCCCUGUUCCAAAUUGGCCCAAGGGGGAAAGGAAAGGCCGGAUGGCCUGGGUUUGUUGAAAGAGAAGGCCGGAAAUUCGGCCGGAAAACCACCUAACUUUAAACGGCCAUAACUUUGUCAAUACUCAACGAAAUCAAGCAAGACAAAAAUGAAAGUUGUAGCCCUUGAAGAGACGAAGAGAAUGGUACCUCACACGACGUCUAACUCGCCGUGGUUUGGCCGGAAAACGCCUCGAAAUCCGUCGGACUCGCCGGAAACUGGGUAAGAUUCAAAUGAGUAUAACUUCUUCAAUACUCAACGAAAUUAAGUGAAACAAAAAGGAAAGUUAUACUACUCGACGAGACGAAGAGAUUGAUACCUUGCACGCCGGCCAACUCGUCGUGGUUUGGCCGGAAAUGGCCUCGAAAGGGGGCGGUGCCUCGCCGGAGCUUACUCCGUGCCGUCGAACUCGCAGGGCAGGGUCCGGGGUUCGUUGCGAGCCUCUCUUCGAUGGUGACUCGGUCCUAGUGAGUCCAGGGGAAGAGAGAGAUGCGAGAGGUUGAGGGAGAGAGAGACAGGAGAGCUGAGAAGGAGAGAGCUACGGGAGGGAGAAACGAAGAAGAAGAAGAGAGAGAUCAGAACACAUAAAAAAAAUAAACAAGGUGGGCCCCACGGGCUCACCAAUUAAGGCUUUAAAACAAUUUUAAAAUAUAAAGGAGGGUUGGGGUGUUUCAAUCUACCACCCUUAUAAAAAAAUUUCGUCCUCGAAAUUUAAAACAACUUACUACACCGAAAAUACUUGAAAAUAGGAAGAAGAAUAAUAUAUAUAUAUAUGUAACGAAGAGAUCAGGUAAGAGCGGUUUCACAAAAGAGAAAAUGCCACGCCGUCGCGAUCGGCUGCAAUGAUUCCAUCUUUCGUGCCUCCAGGCUCAAACUUUUUUUUUUUUCCAUCAGUGUAAAAAUAGAACACAUACUUUAAUAAAAUAUAAAGUUGAAAACACAAAAUAGCUUAAGGCCAGAUAACGUCAAAAUAGAUAUGUACUAACAUAUAGUUCACAAACUCGAAUCAACUUAAAAAUAAAAACAGAAAUACUUUUCCAAAAACAUUUGUAACGUCAAAACAAUUAACUAGAGUAAAUGAAGUUAAAAUACUUAUACUGAAAACCAAAACUGAAAAAUGAGAGUGGGUCUCGCCCAAGAAUUCGAAAUGUCAUAUAUUCUGAGAAUAGAUGUGCCUUUAGGUCGAGUCCCAAGAAAUAAAAAUUCUGAAUCUGCAUCAGCUGCUGUAGACGAAUCUUCUUGCCCACUUGCUUAACGAACCCACCAAAUAAGCUAUCGAUAUCACAGUCUGCAGCCCGCAAUAUCGACCUCACAUUUGUUGUCUCGAUAGGCAAGUAGUAAUUUCUCAAAUGGUGUACAAUUUCACAUAUCGUAGGAUCGAUCCUCCAAAUACAAGUUCGCAAGACUUUUCAGUCAACCAGUGUUUUCCAUGAAAAACUAUCGUACCAGGUCGUAAAAAGUACCAUACACCAAACCGAACAAAACAGAAACUGUCGUCAUAAAACUCUAUCCAGCACCAAGCAUCAUAUCCUUCUCAGUUCUUCCAAAUGUGACCAACUACUUCAGAAUUUCACCAGUAAAGAACCCAUUUGAAAAUUGUACCUUGGGAUUCAAGAGAAGUGGCUACCAUGUUAGUAGUAGACCCAAAAGCUCAAAUCAAGCAAGCAGAAAACGAGAAGUCAUCUUCCUCAACACGCAGUAUCUCUUACGAACUGUUGUAGUGCUCAAUCCACCUCUCCAUUUUUGCUUAGUUGCAGAUUUCAAGUCAAACAAGAUCAAAAUUGGUGGAAAGAAGAACGACUCGCAAAUGGUCAUCCUAACAACCAAAGACCACACGCACAUUUCGAGAGAAGUGUAAAGAUUAUCCAAUUCUCGCUUCGACCGUCCUGUAGUGCCAUCUCAGAAUGCACCAAACAGAUCUGCUAGAAAUGUUUUAACAACCACGUACUCACAAUAAUAAGGUUCAGAAGUGGAGCAAUGGAAAUGUGCGUUGAGGCGAACACAUAUAGUUGGAAAAUAACCGAUGUGAUGCCUAUGAAUUCUAGUAAGAUGGUGAUACAAUAUGCUGACCUUCUGCACCAAAAUCUUCACCAGUCUCUUACCAAAAUACAGCUUAAACCUCAUACCCACAUGGAAUUCUUUAUGGUAAGUCUGGUAAGCUUGUGAAAAGAUUAUGCUCCCAACAUUCAUGUCCGAAUCAACACGAACUGGGUGCCCACUUUCACCGAAACGAUCGAUUGUGAAUUUCUCACUGGUUAGGCGAGAAACCAUGUCGAGAAGGCUAAAAUAAUACUCAAGAAUUUGAGGAUCAAAACAAGUCCAUAAAAAGAUAGAUUACAAGAAAUCAGGAUUUGAACUAGAAACCACGCCAAGAACAAGCUCAUAUUGUUCUGGCAUGAUUCAAUUUUAUAUUGAGAAACCAACAAGCGAAGGAAGAUAAAGAUGCAGAAAUAGAGUCAUUGUUUCUGAUUAUUUUGCAAAUCAUCACAGUAUGGUCAACUGGUUCUUAGCCAAAAGGAAAUAGGUCUAAGCUCAAGGAUAGUUAAUAACUGAUAAUAAGAUUUAACGAGGUCAAAACAUUACGAGAUUCACAAUACUUUGUGAGAGUUGUUUCAAAGUUCAGAAAUUAAACAUAGAAUCUCUGAAUCAGCAGAAUGACGAAGAAGAAAGAUACAAAGCAACCUGCGUAUGCAUGCAGUGACACGAUUGGCUACCUUAAAGUGAUGCUCUUGAGCAAACCAAAGCUCAAUGAGUCCAGAGAAGUUUAGAGUAAAGUUCGAUCUUCGUACAAUGAUAAACAUGGUAGAGUCUCAAGCCAUUACAAUGAAAAUUACAAGACUGAACAUUUAGGCUGCAAGCAAUAGACUAAGUUCACCUUCGCCAAAAAGUACGCAGACGAGGAAAUAGGGUUUGCCACCAGGUACCCAACCCAGGUGAAAUUCAAGGAAUCUGUUUAUCCAAACAAAACUGGAUAUUCAUCAUCCAAAUCCAACUACAACAACAACAAGAAUUGCAACUCAAUUUGAAAAUUAAUGAGAAUAACGUCUGCUACUGAGGAGUUUCUCAAGAUUUCAAUGUAGAGCCGACUCCGCCCGCAAUUCCUAGGGAACGCAUGUUGCAGAGUGGCAUCGCCAUUUCAAAUCUACAGCUGGUUUUAACCAGAAUUCCUCAAAUUGAGAUUUCUAAAACACGUCGCUGAGUAUCGAUCCGAUGCUGAAAGUCGUCCAACGAUUCAAACACGUCACCGAUGAGGCACAAUCCCGACACGAAUUCUUGAAUUUCAACAAGAAGGUGACAAUUCAAUCAGAGAGAGAUUCACACAACUGCACCGACUGGCACAAAAUCCGGAAGUCGUGACAUCCAAAUGAUGUCAAAACCAACACUUUAAGAGAAUAGAAAAGAACCCUAAGUAUGCUCUGAACAAACCACGCUCUGAAACCAAUCUGACACGCCCCGAUCCCGAUAUUUCCCCGAAUACCAGGAUAGGCACGUGCUGGCCGACACCAGAGGGUGACGAAAGCCAUUUAUUGAGUGCAAAUGCCGAACAAUGAAUAAUGAAUAUGCAUUUAAGGAACGUGUUCAGAGCACACAUCUAAUCUAGAACAUUAAAAGAAUUAAUGUAAAAAUUUAAUGAACACAGAAGUGGGUCCUACACCGAGAGGACUCGAAGAUACCGAUGCGGAAGUGCCUGGAUGCCGGGAUUGUACGCCUCGAUUCUAAGUCCUGAAGGGGGCGCAAAACAAACAUGAGUGGACCAAUUUGAUAUAAAUAUAAUAAAACAGUUAUCAACGUACUAACCCCCAGGUUUAUGAAACAUAUAUAUAAUGAUAAACAUAGGUUUUCCGAAUUCUAGCAUGAUGUGCAGUAUCUCAAAUCAUAACUCAUAUAUAAUAAUCACUAGUGAAUUGUCCGAUAACCUGCAGGCCCCAUGCCGGCUCCCCGUCUUUGAGCAGACAGUCAGAGGAAAAUACACUUCAGGCCCCAUGCCGGCUCCCCGUCCCUGUGCUAAAUAGCCAGAGGAAACACACUCCAGGCCCUAUGCCAACACCAAACCGUCGCCCGGGACGGACCGGAAUCUAUCCCUACGUCCCGUAGCGGAAAGGACCACUAGGUAAGUACAAAACCAUUGAACAUACAUAUAUUGAAAAACAACUUCAUAGUAUAAAGUCAUCCAUCAUCUAUACUAUAAAGAGGUGUUCGAAACAUGUUCUAAAUAUCAUAUCGUCAUCCAUCAGAUAUUCUAUAAGAACACGGGUUAUAGGAAAAAUAGUAAUAAUUCAAGGUAGCCUCAGUAAGCAUGUUAUCUCACAAAACGUUUCAUAAAACGUAAUCAUUAAAUCAUGCAUUUCAUGUAUGCAUUUCUACUAUUAAAACAUGCUUUUGAAGGGGUCCACUCACAGUACUUAGCCGCCGAAGAGCCACGCAAACUAACGUCACCAAUAUUGCCCCUAAGCACAUAAAGGGUCCAAUUAAUAAAACUAUAUAAUAGCAAUUGGAUUUGGGGAAAACGGACGUUGGAAACGGAUUCAGAACGUUGAAUUACCCUAAGAAGGGUCCCGGACGAAAACCCGAAAAGUCAACUCUAAAGUCAAUGUUGACCGGAGGUCAACGGUCAAAUUAGGUCUAACGGGUUUUAGGCUUGAAAUCCGGAUUAGGGUUUAGGUUAAAUAGGAUUAGGAUUUAUUGGGUUUUGGUUUUAGGGUUCUAAGAUUAAAAGGGUUUGGGUUAUAAAGGGUUUAGGGUGAAAAUGGGUAGUUUGGGCUUAAACCCCAAACACACACACACACCACAAACAAACACACACACACACCGGGCUGCACACACACAGCCCAUACACACACGGCCCAAAGGCCUAAUAACCAAAAGGGUUGGGUUUUGGGUUCUAAAGGGAAUGGGUUUUUAAAAGAAAAAGGGCUUAGGGCCCUGACUUGGAAAGCCCAAGGGCUUAAAAGCCUAGGGUUUUCUGGGUUGCUGCUCACGGGCCGAAUGCCCUGUUCCAAAUUGGCCCAAGGGGGAAGGGAAAGGCCGGAUGGCCUGGGUUUGUUGAAAGAGAAGGCCGGAAAUUCGGCCGGAAAACCACCUAACUUUAAACGGCCAUAACUUUGUCAAUACUCAACGAAAUCAAGCAAGACAAAAAUGAAAGUUGUAGCCCUUGAAGAGACGAAGAGAAUGGUACCUCACACGACGUCUAACUCGCCGUGGUUGGGUCGGAAAACGCCUCGAAAUCCGUCGGACUCGCCGGAAACUGGGUAAGAUUCAAAUGAGUAUAACUUCUUCAAUACUCAACGAAAUUAAGUGAAACAAAAAGGAAAGUUAUACUACUCGACGAGACGAAGAGAUUGAUACCUUGCACGCCGGCCAACUCGUCGUGGUUUGGCCGGAAAUGGCCUCGAAAGGGGCGGUGCUCGCCGGAGCUUACUCCGUGCCGUCGAACUCGCAGGGCAGGGUCCGGGGUUCGUUGCGAGCCUCUCUUCGAUGGUGACUCGGUCCUAGUGAGUCCAGGGGAAGAGAGAGAUGCGAGAGGUUGAGGGAGAGAGAGACAGGAGAGCUGAGAAGGAGAGAGCUACGGGAGGGAGAAACGAAGAAGAAGAAGAGAGAGAUCAGAACA
Molecule: long non-coding RNA, 7016 nt
Filed under: Malus domestica (apple)
Lineage: Eukaryota; Viridiplantae; Streptophyta; Magnoliopsida; Rosales; Rosaceae
Description: long non-coding RNA (MDOM_LNC006482)
Source: RNAcentral